Molecule: non-coding RNA, 69 nt
Organism: Rattus norvegicus (Norway rat)
Lineage: Eukaryota; Metazoa; Chordata; Mammalia; Rodentia; Muridae
Source: Rfam
GGGGAUUUAGCUCAGUGGUAGAGCACUUGCCUAGCAAGCACAAGGCCCUGGGUUCGGUCCCCAUCUCCA